Molecule: ribosomal RNA, 392 nt
Filed under: uncultured bacterium
Lineage: Bacteria
Description: bacterial SSU rRNA
Rfam family: Bacterial small subunit ribosomal RNA
Source: RNAcentral
GAUGAACGCUGGCGGCGUGCUUAACACAUGCAAGUCGAACGGUGAAAGAGGAGCUUGCUCCUCUGGAUCAGUGGCGAACGGGUGAGUAACACGUGAGUAACCUGCCCUUGACUCUGGGAUAAGCACUGGAAACGGUGUCUAAUACCGGAUACGAGCUUCAGUCGCAUGACUAGGAGCUGGAAAGAAUUUCGGUCAAGGAUGGACUCGCGGCCUAUCAGCUAGUUGGUGAGGUAAUGGCCCACCAAGGCGACGACGGGUAGCCGGCCUGAGAGGGUGACCGGCCACACUGGGACUGAGACACGGCCCAGACUCCUACGGGAGGCAGCAGUGGGGAAUAUUGCACAAUGGGCGCAAGCCUGAUGCAGCAACGCCGCGUGAGGGACGACGGCCUG